Molecule: ribosomal RNA, 500 nt
Filed under: uncultured bacterium
Lineage: Bacteria
Description: partial 16S ribosomal RNA
Rfam family: Bacterial small subunit ribosomal RNA
Source: RNAcentral
AUCGAACGCUGGCGGAAUGCUUUACACAUGCAAGUCGAACGGCAGCACGGACUUCGGUCUGGUGGCGAGUGGCGAACGGGUGAGUAAUGUAUCGGAACGUGCCCAGUCGUGGGGGAUAACGUAGUGAAAAUUACGCUAAUACCGCAUACGAUUUAUGGAUGAAAGCGGGGGAUCGCAAGACCUCGCGCGAUUGGAGCGGCCGAUAUCAGAUUAGGUAGUUGGUGGGGUAAAGGCCCACCAAGCCAACGAUCUGUAGCUGGUCUGAGAGGACGACCAGCCACACUGGAACUGAGACACGGUCCAGACUCCUACGGGAGGCAGCAGUGGGGAAUUUUGGACAAUGGGCGAAAGCCUGAUCCAGCCAUUCCGCGUGCAGGAUGAAGGCCCUCGGGUUGUAAACUGCUUUUGUACAGAACGAGAAGGUUUCUACUAAUACUAGGAGCUCAUGACGGUACUGUAAGAAUAAGCACCGGCUAACUACGUGCCAGCCGCCGCCGUAA